RNAcentral lists this ribosomal RNA (254 nucleotides) under uncultured bacterium. RNAcentral describes it as "partial 16S ribosomal RNA". It matches the Rfam family "Bacterial small subunit ribosomal RNA", at positions 524 to 776 of the family's 1533-position model. The record is from RNAcentral.
UACGUAGGGGCCUAGCGUUGUCCGGAAUUAUUGGGCGUAAAGAGCUCGUAGGCGGUUCGGCAAGUCGGAUGUGAAAUCUCCACGCUUAACGUGGAGGGGCCAUUCGAAACUGCUGUGACUCGAGUCCGGUAGGGGAGUGUGGAAUUCCCGGUGUAGCGGUGAAAUGCGUAGAGAUCGGGAGGAACACCGGUGGCGAAGGCGGCCAGCUGGCGCUGACCUGACGCUGAGGCGCGAAGGCAUGGGGAGCGAACGGG